Molecule: ribosomal RNA, 468 nt
Filed under: uncultured bacterium
Lineage: Bacteria
Description: partial 16S ribosomal RNA
Rfam family: Bacterial small subunit ribosomal RNA
Source: RNAcentral
GACGAACGCUGGCGGCGUGCUUAACACAUGCAAGUCGAACGGAAAGGCCCUGCUUUUGUGGGGUGCUCGAGUGGCGAACGGGUGAGUAACACGUGAGUAACCUGCCCUUGACUUUGGGAUAACUUCAGGAAACUGGGGCUAAUACCGGAUAGGAGCUCCUGCUGCAUGGUGGGGGUUGGAAAGUUUCGGCGGUUGGGGAUGGACUCGCGGCUUAUCAGCUUGUUGGUGGGGUAGUGGCUUACCAAGGCUUUGACGGGUAGCCGGCCUGAGAGGGUGACCGGCCACAAUGGGACUGAGGUACGGCCCAGACUCCAACGGGAGGCAGCAGUGGGGAAUAUUGCACAAUGGGCGGGAGCCUGAUGCGGCGGCGCCGCGUGCGGGAUGACGGCCUUCGGGUUGUAAACCGCUUUCGCCUGUGACGAAGCGUGAGUGACGGUAAUGGGUAAAGAAGCACCGGCUAACUACGUG